Molecule: small RNA, 28 nt
Filed under: Bombyx mori (domestic silkworm)
Lineage: Eukaryota; Metazoa; Arthropoda; Insecta; Lepidoptera; Bombycidae
Description: ovarian small RNA-11302
Source: RNAcentral
ACCGAUCUGAUUGCGGUUCUUACCGCGG